CCAAUCUUAGCGGGCCUGGUCUUUAUUAACCAUGGUUUCGCGAAAAUAGUAUUUAAAACUCACUCUUAUAAAAUGAAUCAUUUUUUUGUAUAAUAAAUAAAGA
RNAcentral lists this unclassified non-coding RNA (103 nucleotides) under uncultured Rhizophagus. RNAcentral describes it as "sequence contains ITS1". Lineage: Eukaryota; Fungi; Glomeromycota; Glomeromycetes; Glomerales; Glomeraceae. The record is from RNAcentral.